GUGUGGAGACAAAAUGUAAGAAGCCAACAGAGAAGGUACCUCACUAACGCCAAUACAUGCACACGCUUCAGUUGAAAAAUGUGAUCAACGCAUAUUUGAAGGUGCUUGUACAGAAAUACAACCAGUGCAAUGUUGGUGAAGCAGCUGUUAUUGACACCUAUGCUAUGACGGCAAUCUGGCAAAAAAAUUUUGGAAGAAGCCGGAUUGAUCCAGUGGCACACAAAGUUAUUGUGGGAAUUGUGAUUUAGAACCAUCACUGGAUGUUGGUGAUGCACUCAGGAAAUAUAUGCAGAGGCCCCCAGCUGCUGGAGAAGUUACACCUGAUCUCCCAUCUACACCACUCUCUGAAGCAGGAAAUCCCUGCUCUUCCUUUUGGUUGCCUUAGCAGUGGACUGUGGAGCUGCAGUAGCUGCAGUUGCAGUCAUCUCUCCCUCACUCCCCUCUGCCUGCCUCCUCCUACCUGACUGUGUGAGUAACUGUGUAUAUAGUACUCGGGCAUAAGGAAAGCUCUGUUUCGCUGUCGGCCAUUUAGGACCUGUUACUGGCAGUUGCUCUCUGUCUCCAGGUUAAGCCCAGGAGCCAGAUGGAGUCCUGUCUGAGGGAGGACGACAGCCUCAGGGAGGACGCAGCUGAUCUGUUCAAACAUCAGGCUUAACAGUCAGAAAUUCAUGCUACGACACUAUUUAAACAUUCAUUCACUGGUAUAGUCAGACUGUGACAAGCAGCAUGCCUGCACCCUAUUGGGGUGGACCCAGGGACAUAUUUUCGUGAAGGCUCAUCGACCAGCGCAAGCAGCGCUCCGACUGUUUGGUAUUUUCCUGAUCUUGAAACUCACUUUGUGCAUCUGUGCGGUAUUUUGGUGACCAGCACAGAGCGCACGGUGCAUUGAUGGGAGGAGAGGCGCUGACAGCAGCGCAAAGACAGUUGUUGUUUUUUGGUUAAAAUUUCUCAGAACCAUGUCUAUUUGUGGCGCAACGUCACACUGGUUUUGUGAUUUACCAACAGGAUCAAACUAAAUACUAAAUACUAAAUACUAAGUCACAGUCUGCACGCCUAACGCCUGGGCCACACAGCCUACUUCUACCUGAGCAGUGUGUGUGCAUCGCUGAACUGCUGCGGCUCGCAGGCCUGCGGUAUCCACACAGACAGCGUUGCUGCUGCGGUGCUGCUGCUGCCAGCUCUAUCUUUCUACAUAGAGUUUGAAUUUUAUAUUGGCCAUCAAUAAUAGCAUGUUUCAUAUCAUUUCAUUAUGAAUUUCAUUUAUAUUUAGUUUAACCAAAAAAAGGUUAAGAAGCGUGUGCUUGAUUGUGAAAAAUAAAUAAUAAAUUAUAUGUGAGGGUUAGGGUUGGGUGAAAGCAGCUUUCUUUCUGACAGACAUGGUGGGGUCUGGUUGGGGAUACUGUGUGUCAGUCACACACUCCUCACACAGGACGUGUUUCUUUUUCAUUGAUUAUACUGAUUAUUCCGCCAAUUAAUCCCUUGCUGUCACCACUCCAAGUGAUUAAUGAUGUUGUCAAUGGCGGCCGGGCAAUAUCCUAGAAGGCUUGAAAGUUUUGUCAUGUCUUCCAGGCUCUCGUUGUGCUUUAAUGUCUCCCCCACAUUGAACAAAGACAUGUGCUGCAAUAUCUCCACAUUAUCUAGGAGCCUUGCUUUUAGUUCAUUUGCUAAGGAGAUGGUGUAGCUCACACAUCUCCUUCGCACACAGUCCUCCUCCUCAGGGGAGAAGUUCACCUUGGACUCAAAUGUAUAGCCAAGGUAUGGCUUGGGAGAGAUGUGUCCAUCUAUUGGCUCUUUGAGCAUGUCAAUUGUUGCCAUGGGGUUGAUGACUCUACUGCAGACAGACUUUAUAAGCUUUAUUAAACAGUCAAGCAGCUUGAGCAGAUCCAUCUGUUCCCCUUCAAAAGCCUUAACAGCAGACUGCACCUCACUAAUUAUAGAUUUUAAAAAAGUGAGGUACAGGAGGUUCUGUGGGUCACUGUACAUGGAGUGUAGAACAUCUGCCAUGUAGCAAUGUUCACGUGCCAUGGUGAGGUUAAAAGCAAUUUUAAUUCCUCCCACUGAUCCAGGAUUCUGGACAUGGCAGGCUCUAUGGAAAGCCAGUGUGUGCCACAGACCAUAGUUAUCAGUAAAGGCUUCUCCCUACAGUUUAUUGUCUCAUAGACGGCUUUGUAUGCCUCUUUGCACUUUGGUGAAAUAGAGAACCAAUUAUAGGUUUCUCUAACAAGGAAUUCCACACUACGUGGAAGUGUGUUUUUGGAGGCAGAGCUUACAGCUAACUGUAGUGAGUGACACACACAGUGGAUGAGGACCAUGUGUUUUAUUAUAUGCAUCAUCUGUGCCAAUGCCAAGCAGGUUCUCCCUCUUGAGGCCACACUUCCCAAGAAAAGCUAGAACUGCUCUGGCUAUUGAUCUAGCAUCCCCUCCCUCCAGCUCAAGAAGGCCUAGGUAAGUGGCCACCACAUUUCCCUCGACCUCACUAAAAUACCAAUACGACCCCAAGGUACUUUGAGACACUUACAUUGGUGCUUUAAUCAAGAAGGAGGCUGUAUUUGCUGUCACUAAUAUCGCCACCUUAAGCCGCUUUCAAGAGAAUAUGGUGCCAACACACCAUUGAUCAUUUCAGUACAUUUCAUAUGGUGCAUCUGGAAAUUUUUGGCUGCACUGGAAUCUGUAAAAGCAGCCUUACAUGCCUGACAGAUGUGGUCACACGAAAGAAUGGAACAAUGCUCUGCAAUAGCCAAUGCCAUUGUUGCCUCUGCCUGUUCUCAAGAGUUUGUGUUUUCUGUAAAAAAAAAAAAAAAAAAAAAAAAGGUAAUGUAGAUUGCUUUGCUUGGUUGUAUUGCUUGGACUUUUCAGUGUGCAAAGAAUUUUUAAUGUGUUUGUAGUGUGUGUAUUUGUAUUUAUAUUUAUA
Molecule: long non-coding RNA, 2911 nt
Organism: Thunnus maccoyii (southern bluefin tuna)
Lineage: Eukaryota; Metazoa; Chordata; Actinopteri; Scombriformes; Scombridae
Exons: 5
Source: RefSeq, a predicted model, not a curated record